AACAGGAUUAGAUACCCUGGUAGUCCACGCCGUAAACGAUGUCGACUUGGAGGUUGUGCCCUUGAGGCGUGGCUUCCGGAGCUAACGCGUUAAGUCGACCGCCUGGGGAGUACGGCCGCAAGGUUAAAACUCAAAUGAAUUGACGGGGGCCCGCACAAGCGGUGGAGCAUGUGGUUUAAUUCGAUGCAACGCGAAGAACCUUACCUACUCUUGACAUCCACGGAAUUCGGCAGAGAUGCCUUAGUGCCUUCGGGAACCGUGAGACAGGUGCUGCAUGGCUGUCGUCAGCUCGUGUUGUGAAAUGUUGGGUUAAGUCCCGCAACGAGCGCAACCCUUAUCCUUUGUUGCCAGCGAUUCGGUCGGGAACUCAAAGGAGACUGCCGGUGAUAAACCGGAGGAAGGUGGGGAUGACGUCAAGUCAUCAUGGCCCUUACGAGUAGGGCUACACACGUGCUACAAUGGCGCAUACAAAGAGAAGCGACCUCGCGAGAGCAAGUGGACCUCACAAAGUGCGUCGUAGUCCGGAUCGGAGUCUGCAACUCGACUCCGUGAAGUCGGAAUCGCUAGUAAUCGUGGAUCAGAAUGCCACGGUGAAUACGUUCCCGGGCCUUGUACACACCGCCCGUCACACCAUGGGAGUGGGUUGCAAAAGAAGUAGGUAGCUUAACCUUCGGGAGGGCGCUUACCACUUUGUGAUUCAUGACUGGGGUGAAGUCGUAACAAGGUAACC
Molecule: ribosomal RNA, 730 nt
Filed under: uncultured bacterium
Lineage: Bacteria
Description: bacterial SSU rRNA
Rfam family: Bacterial small subunit ribosomal RNA
Source: RNAcentral